This 253-nucleotide ribosomal RNA is filed under the name uncultured bacterium. Its description in RNAcentral is "partial 16S ribosomal RNA". It matches the Rfam family "Bacterial small subunit ribosomal RNA", at positions 524 to 776 of the family's 1533-position model. The record is from RNAcentral.
CACGUAGGGCGCAAGCGUUGUCCGGAAUUAUUGGGCGUAAAGAGCUCGUAGGCGGUUGUGUCAGUCAGGGGUGAAAUCCCGGGGCUCAACCUCGGAACUGCCUUUGAUACAGCACGUCUCGAGUCCGGAAGAGGUGGGUGGAAUUCCUAGUGUAGAGGUGAAAUUCGUAGAUAUUAGGAAGAACACCGGUGGCGAAGGCGGCCCACUGGUCCGGUACUGACGCUGAGGUGCGAAAGCGUGGGGAGCAAACAGG